Molecule: ribosomal RNA, 95 nt
Filed under: Phytophthora cryptogea
Lineage: Eukaryota; Oomycota; Peronosporomycetes; Peronosporales; Peronosporaceae
Description: partial 5.8S ribosomal RNA
Rfam family: 5.8S ribosomal RNA
About the family: 5.8S ribosomal RNA (5.8S rRNA) is a component of the large subunit of the eukaryotic ribosome.
Source: RNAcentral
AUGCGAAUUGCAGGAUUCAGUGAGUCAUCGAAAUUUUGAACGCAUAUUGCACUUCCGGGUUAGUCCUGGGAGUAUGCCUGUAUCAGUGUCCGUAC